CUGAGCACCGACAACCUCCGAUUAGCAGGACGCUCAGCUGCUACGUACGGUGGUGCGAAAGAAAAUUCAACUCACCAUGUCCAUCUCGGCCCUGCCGCUGCUGCUGGGGGUGGUGGUGGUGGUGGGAGCCCAGCAGGAGAGGACCAUCUGCGCGGGCAUCAACGGGAUCCCCGGACAGCCCGGAGCCCCGGGGCAGCACGGGACCCCUGGGGCUCCCGGGAGGGACGGCAGAGAUGGCGUUACCGGAGCACCCGGAGCCAAGGGAGACCUCGGGGCUCGAGGCUUGACUGGGGACCCAGGU
This is a long non-coding RNA of Lethenteron reissneri (Far Eastern brook lamprey), 301 nucleotides long. RefSeq lists it as uncharacterized. The record is from RefSeq and is a predicted model, not a curated record. NCBI's taxonomy places the organism in Eukaryota, Metazoa, Chordata, Hyperoartia, Petromyzontiformes, Petromyzontidae.